CCGUGGCCCAACCAGCUUGCUGGGGGGAGCGGUCGAAGGUGGGGCUGGCGAUUGGGACGAAGUCGUAACAAGGUAGCCGUACCGGAAGGUGCGGCUGGAUCACCUCCUUU
Molecule: ribosomal RNA, 110 nt
Filed under: Nonomuraea turcica
Lineage: Bacteria; Bacillati; Actinomycetota; Actinomycetes; Streptosporangiales; Streptosporangiaceae
Description: partial 16S ribosomal RNA
Rfam family: Bacterial small subunit ribosomal RNA
Source: RNAcentral